This 145-nucleotide long non-coding RNA is filed under the name Manacus vitellinus (golden-collared manakin). Its description in RNAcentral is "lncRNA (ENSMVIG00005016000.1)". Lineage: Eukaryota; Metazoa; Chordata; Aves; Passeriformes; Pipridae. The record is from RNAcentral.
CACCUGACCAAGACCUUUGCAGUAGUGUGGGAUGCUGUGUGGCAGGAAAUACUGUUGUGCUGAGGAAGAAAACAACUCCCUCUUCUUUUUUUUUUUUUCCUUUUUUUUUUCCCCCUCUUCCCUCCCCUCCUUUCUUCUUGCCUGA